Cydia splendana is the source of this 2299-nucleotide long non-coding RNA. RefSeq lists it as uncharacterized. The record is from RefSeq and is a predicted model, not a curated record. Lineage: Eukaryota; Metazoa; Arthropoda; Insecta; Lepidoptera; Tortricidae. The transcript is spliced from 7 exons.
CUAAUGCGAGAAAAAUUCCGCUAAGUGAAAGUUCUGGACGCGGAGUUUGUAAAUACCACGCUGCAUAUUUCCACAUCCACGACGAAAUAGCUGUAGGACCCUGUUCAAUAAGGCAGAUUAUCAAGAUGAAGUGGGCCGGGACCAAAUGGAUGCCUGUUUCUCAGCAAGCGGUGUCCAACUGCUAAAUUACCCCGGUCUUAUCAGUAUGGGCUAUCAUUAAAGCCGGGGGUUUUCGAUGCACACAUGUGACCCUUCAUGGGCCAUAGGAAUAUGAAGACCGCUUCUUGUAUAUCUUUUCCAUCACGGAACAAUGGUGUUCCGGACCUUUGGGAGGCGUGCGCGGAGCCGUAGGCAACACAUACGGGAUCAUAUCAAUUACGUGGACAAGUCGUAUGGUGGGACAACCUACGACCCCUUUAUAUGGAGCAACAGCGUUAGUCGAGAUUACUUCGAGCAGCUGGCAUGUGUGGCACCAGCGAAAUAGUGUACAUUAGAUAUGGGAACAAGUCAACUACAUCAUUAACAUGGACGCGUCGUACGGCAGGGCAACCCACGACGCCUUCAUAUGUAGCAAUAGCAUUAGUCAAGACUACUUCGAGCAGCGGGCAUGUGGUACCAGCGAAAUAGCGCACAUUAGGUAGAAGACUCCGGGUAUCCACUGCGGGAACACGGGACACCUUAUGAUUUCUGCAAGCGGCGCCGCAGAAGAAUCCCCGAGGCUAUAACGCCAUACAAAAGAAGGCGCGCUCCACUAUAGAGCUAACAUUUGGGAUAUUAAAAGUUACACCACCACCAUGGCCACUACUGUCUGAUCUGUGAUCCGUGCUGUGCCUAUACGCGAAGACCGUACUCCCGACGACGGCGAUGAAAAUAACACUGCCGGCUUUUCAAGGAGCUACAUUACCAGCUGAUAAUGCAACUAUUACCCAAUGCCCCGUACCUACGUAGUAUAGAAGAAGACUAAGACUUAUCUACUAUAUAAGCAGAGGCUAGCAAACUAGUCUUAUUUCCUAUGAGGCCAUGCUGUGGUAAUUAUUAAAUUCACCUUAGAAAGCUAAUGUAAGGCAUAAGGAUAAUAAGGCACAUAUAUUUGAAUCGCCUCCUUUACAGGAAUAAAUUGUGUAAUUUAUUGUACCUGCUAGUUAAACUAAUACACGAUUAGCAGCACUAAGAGUUGUAUUGGCCAAGUUGACUACGGAGUAAUAUACCUAGCAGGUACAAUAAAUUACAUUUGUUUCUGAGUGAUUUAAAAUAUGUGUCUUAACCAGACACAGAUUGUGCCGAUUGUGUUAUUAACUAUGAUUGCAUAACUUUGUCUAGUAUAGUUCUGAAUAUUUGACCAUCGAUAUAAAUGAUGUAGAUAUACAAAGAUAGAUAGAUAGAAUACUUUAAAAUUUAAAGAUGUAUAAUGCGUGUGUUUAUUUUUUAAGAUGUAUGUAUUGUUCAAAAUUCCAUGGCAGAAUUUUGUUACAAAACAAUCAGUGUAGUAGUAUAGUAUAUAACGAUAAGCAAACAUGUUACUCGUAAAGGAAUAAUUACACACGAACGAAAUAUAUAAGACUUGUAAUGUAAAAAUCUAAAUGUUAUAUUAUAUCUGAGUUGUGUAAACUUCGAAAACUUUUGGCUGUGGCGGCGAACAAUUAUUUCAUGACACGGCAGGCGUGCCUUACGCCAUAGAAUAUGAUCGCACGCCUGUCGUGUCAUGCGCCACACGUUGAAAUCAUUGAUGACACGCCUGUCGUGCCAACCGCACCGAAACGGUUAUAAAUGUACCUAUGAUAAAUAAUUUUAUAAGGUUAGGUAGGCUAUUUUAUUUCUUACUCUUGUAUGUGCAAAUAAACAUAGUCAAUGAUUAGUCAAUAAUAUGUAAAUGACAUUAGAGUGAGACCAAGAUAAGUAUGCAGCUAUUUUUAUAGCACAAACGUGCAAGUGUAUUUUAAAUUCCAAAUUUCUAUGAAAUUAUGUAUUUAAAUAACAUUUGCGCGUCUGUGCUAUAAAAAUCGCUUAAUAUCUUGGUCUGACUAACUCUUUUCGAAUGUAGACAAUAAGGGAGGAGGAGGAAGCUUCUGCCCAUUUGCCGCCUGUUUGUGCAUGUGCUGCAUUCAGCUAGUCCCAAAUUUUAUUAUAUUAAUAUUUAAAAUAUAAUUAUACAAUUUUAACCCUUUACCAGGCUAACAUUUCGAAAAUGACAAUUGAAUGUCUUACUCAUCAAAAAUAGAACAGAUGUUUGAAGUGCCAUACGUGGGAAAUAUAACCCUUAACCCUUAGCCUGGUAAAAUUGUUAAAUUUUUUACACAAA